RNAcentral lists this ribosomal RNA (301 nucleotides) under uncultured bacterium. RNAcentral describes it as "partial 16S ribosomal RNA". It matches the Rfam family "Bacterial small subunit ribosomal RNA", at positions 509 to 809 of the family's 1533-position model. The record is from RNAcentral.
CAGUCGCCGCGGUAAAACGUAGGUGGCAAGCGUUGUCCGGAAUUAUUGGGCGUAAAGGGCUCGCAGGCGGUUUCUUAAGUCUGAUGUGAAAACCCCCGGCUCAACCGGGGAGGGUCAUUGGAAACUGGGAAACUUGAGUGCAGAAGAGGAGAGUGGAAUUCCACGUGUAGCGGUGAAAUGCGUAGAGAUGUGGAGGAACACCAGUGGCGAAGGCGACUCUCUGGUCUGUAACUGACGCUGAGGAGCGAAAGCGUGGGGAGCGAACAGGAUUAGAUACCCGUGUAGUCCCUGUCUCUUAUAA